Molecule: ribosomal RNA, 426 nt
Filed under: uncultured soil bacterium
Lineage: Bacteria
Description: bacterial SSU rRNA
Rfam family: Bacterial small subunit ribosomal RNA
Source: RNAcentral
UAAUGGCCUACCAAGGCGACGACGGGUAGCCGGCCUGGGAGGGCGACCGGCAUACACUGGGACUGAGACACGGCCAAGACUCCUACGGGAGGCAGCAGUGGGGAAUAUUGCGCAAUGGGCGAAAGCCUGACGCAGCGCCGCCUCGUGGGGGAUGAAUGCCUUCGGGUUGUAAACCCCUUUCAGCAGGGACGAAGCGAUGGUGACGGUUCCUGCAGAAGAAGCGCCGGCUAACUACGUGCCAGCAGCCGCGGUAACACGUAGGGCGCAAGCGUUGUCCGGAAUUAUUGGGCGUAAAGAGCUCGUAGGUGGUCUGUUGCGUCCGCUGUGAAAACCCACGGCUUAACCCUGGCCUUGCAGUGGAUACCGGGCAUACUAGUGGUAGGUAGGGGAGGAAUGGAAUCUCGCCGGUUGUAGCGGAUGAAAAUG